This 253-nucleotide ribosomal RNA is filed under the name uncultured bacterium. RNAcentral's name for it is "partial 16S ribosomal RNA". It matches the Rfam family "Bacterial small subunit ribosomal RNA", at positions 524 to 776 of the family's 1533-position model. The record is from RNAcentral.
UACGUAGGGGGCGAGCGUUGUCCGGAAUCAUUGGGCGUAAAGCGCGUGUAGGCGGCCCGAUAAGUCUGCUGUGAAAGUCGGGGGCUCAACCCUCGGAUGCCGGUGGAUACUGUCGGGCUUGAGUGCGGAAGAGGCGAGUGGAAUUCCUGGUGUAGCGGUGAAAUGCGCAGAUAUCAGGAGGAACACCAAUUGCGAAGGCAGCUCGCUGGGACGUUACUGACGCUGAUGCGCGAAAGCGUGGGGAGCAAACAGG